This 22-nucleotide non-coding RNA is filed under the name Rattus norvegicus (Norway rat). Lineage: Eukaryota; Metazoa; Chordata; Mammalia; Rodentia; Muridae. The record is from RNAcentral.
UGAGCUUUACCAACGGCCUUUU